CCUUACUCACUGUAGCUGUAUAGACAGUGGGGUCAAGCAAGUGGCUCGUUGGAGCUCCGAAGUGAUGGCGGCCAUGGAGACCCGGGGUCACCUUCCUAUCCUAUUCUGUUGGGUACAUUUAUGACUUCGAAAAUUCUAAUUUCCACCCUGCUCCCAGAUCUCCCCGCUGCCUGCCACACCCCGCCACCUCUGACCCUGGGGGCUAGCUCUUAACGGCCCCUCUUAGGGGGCACUUCUGUUACAAGAUUGGUCCGUUUCUUAGUUGACUCCAGCCCUGGAAUAGGCUUUUCAUCGUUCUCACUCUAGCUCAACCUUUAGAAGUUCAAGUUUGACUGUUUUUCUAGGAAGUAAAAGAGCUAUUUUUCCUUCAAGGCCUAUGAUUUCUAUGAUUCUGUAAUUGAGCUCCAAAGGCUGCUUUGAAUUUGACCUCAAGUGCAAUUCAUGAAGACAACUUUGACAAUACCAGUUUCCCUUUGGGCAAGAAUACUCCCCCUGGAAAUUCAGAAAGUGUCCUAUUGAGUAAAAUCCUUCUUAAUUUACUGUAAAAAGUGUGUUUAGAAAAGCAAAUAAUCUAUGACAGAGCAUAGAACUGUCCACUAUUAUGAAAUCCAAUAAAGAAUAAGAAGGAAACUGAGCCCUCCA
RNAcentral lists this long non-coding RNA (642 nucleotides) under Ursus maritimus (polar bear). Its description in RNAcentral is "lncRNA (ENSUMAG00000013836.1)". The record is from RNAcentral. Lineage: Eukaryota; Metazoa; Chordata; Mammalia; Carnivora; Ursidae.